GCAAGUCGAACGAAGCCUUCGGGCUUAGUAUCGUACGGGUGAAUAACUCGUGGGAACAUGCCCUUUGCUACGGAACAGUCCUGGGAAACUGGGUUUAAUACCGUAUACGCCCUUCGGGGGAAAGAAUUUCGGCAAAGGAUCGGCCCGCGUUGGAUUAGGUAGUUGGUGGGGUAAAGGCCUACCAAGCCGACGAUCCAUAGCUGGUUUGAGAGGAUGAUC
Molecule: ribosomal RNA, 219 nt
Filed under: uncultured bacterium
Lineage: Bacteria
Description: partial 16S ribosomal RNA
Rfam family: Bacterial small subunit ribosomal RNA
Source: RNAcentral